AUACAAACUGUACACUCACUACUUUAAAUUGUAGCAAAGUGUCAUUUCUUCAGUGUUGUCAGAUGAAAAGAUGUAAUCAAAUAUUUACUAAAAUGUGAGGGGUGGACUCACUUUUGUGAGAUGUAUAAAUCACACUGUAUAUACUGGACAUGGGUAAAUGAAAGAAAAACCUGAAUAAAAGAUUGGAGAAACAAAUAGCAUGCAAAUACUUGGUGCUCCAGGGCUUCCUGAGCAGUUUGGUGAUGUUGAAAGUAAUGUAAAGAAAAUGCUGCGGCCUUAACAGUCACCAGAUCUCAACCCAGUUUCACACCUGGAAGAUUUUGACCAACGUGGAAGACAUUGCUCUCUACCACCAUCUCCAUAAGACCAAAUAAUAAUCUAAACCCUCAUCUUCAGAUCUACGUAGUGAUGUCUGUGACUGUCUGAUGCUAUAUGCUAGCAUGUAUUCGUACCGGACUGUUUUGGUACAGGACUUUCGUAACGGUGAAAAUGUGCACCAGUUGCAGUCUUUUUGUGCGUGGAACAUACGUUAAGUUUUAAGCACAUUAUGAAGGUGACUGAGCCCCGGUAUGAAAUUCCUUCUCGUCCACAUUUCAGCCAAAAAGUUGAAGUGAACAGGCUAAAACUGCUGUUGUCUACAACCUGUCCAAGGCAUCUGCUAUAGCACUCAGAAAUGAUGGAUGGACAUCUAGAGCUACCGAGAGCUGCUUAACAGUCACUGCCCAUCACAUCGCUCCAGAAUGGAACAUGGUAAGCCAUGUUCUGCAAACAAAGACAGUGUUGGAGUGGAAGUUGAAGAGGCCAGGAACUACAAUUCCUGUCACAACAGACAAUGCUAGGAAUAUUGUCAAUGCAGUCAGUGAAGCUGGACUGGGCCCUCAAAUUGGAUGUUUUGCACACACAAUUAAUUUAGCGUCACAGAAAGCAACAGGUCUCAACCAGGCCCAUCAGCUGCCAACACAUUCUCAUCUCAAUGCAUCAUAACUGACGCUUUCAGACAGCGUGACAAAGCAGAAGGAUUUUACGCUAAAGGUACCCUUCAGCGUCUGUAUGAAACACCCCCAUUUGCUACGUUGCAGCAACACAAGGGAGGCUAACCCUACCUGUUAGCACAUCGGCCGCGAGGGUUAGCCUGUCAACAUGCAUAAAGUCAGUGACUUAGGUUUAGGUACUAACAUUUCUGAUGGUUGUGGUAAGGGUAGGGGGUUCGGGGGGCUGUCAACACCUUUAUAACACCUUCUCAUAGAGACGCUUCUAGAAAUAACUACGCUUUGUCACUCUUUCUCAAAUCGUCGGUAUAUGCCGCCCUGAGAUGAGAACGGGCUCCAGCUGCACACAUAUUGGAGAGCAAACAGGAAAUGCUUAAUAUACCAAAACACACCCUUAAGGCCUUUUCACAUGGGAAUUGAAACUCUGCUUGCGUAGUUGCGCUUCUCAUGUGAACAGAAACCGAGACAAGCACGCCUUGAGUAAACGGGGCAGGCAUCGCUUGUCGCUACGCCUGUUGCGAUGCCUGCGUCUCCCUUCCUACACUCAUUGAAAAUGAAUUACGAGGCACGUAAAUUAUUUCCCGUGUGAAAAGGCCAUUAUUCGUGAUGUCACCACCCGCUGGAACUCCAGUUAUGAUAUGCUUGAGAGGUACCUUGAACAGCAAGCAGCUGUAUACUCUGCACUGACAGAAAAGGCCCUCAAGAAGAAUAAAGAAAUAAGAACGGUGUCUGACCAGGAUGUGAAAAUGGCAGAGGAGGUACUUGAGGUCCUUAAACCACUAAAAAUCCUCAUAACACUGAUAAGCACUGAAGCUGCAUCUUCAGUAUCAAUGAUCCUCCCCCUCAAAACUACAAUCCUCAAGUCUAUGGAACCCAAUGAACCAACUUUUGAGAGAAGUCAAGGCUGCCAUCACAGAACACCUGAGGAACAGAUACUGUACUUGUCAUGACUUCCUCCAAAACAUGCACAGAACUUGAUCAAGGUUUCAAGGCCCUUCCUCAUGUGGAUGAUGCCUGUUGUGACAGAAUCUACAACAGCCUCAUCACAGAGAUUGUAACCAUAGAAGAACAGAGUGAGGAGACCACAGCAGUUAGUUUAUCCCUAGUAACAGGACACCCAGAGGCAUUACCUCCUCCUGUCAAGAAGUCAGCCAUGGCUGAACUGUUUGGUGAACUCUUCAGGUGGGAAACAAGCCUACUUUGAAGCUGGUGAAGGAAGAGGUUACUUUAUACAAGGCUGUGGACUGCCUUUCACUGGAUUCCAACCCUCUUGUAUGGUGGAGGACCAAUGAGCCCACAUAUGCUCAUAUUGCCAAGUUAGCAAAGCGCUACAAUGCUGCACCUGCUACCUCAGUCCCUAGCGAGAGGGUAUUUUCUGCAGCUGGAGACAUUGUAACUGCCAGCAGAUCUGCCCUUUCUGUGGACAAUGUGGAUAAGUACAUUUUUCUGACAAAAAACAUGAAAGUUGAAUGAAUCUGAGCAGGCCUACAAGAUGGAGCUGUUGAUGCUGCACUUUAAAAGUUACACACACAUUUCUUAAAAAAACUUCAUAAUAAACAACCAGCAAUUUAAUGUUUGCAUUUUUUUCUCCUUACUGUACCAAAAAUCAACCGAACUGUGACUGUAAAACCGAGGUACAUACUGAACCGUGAUUUUUGUAUACUGUUACACCCCUACUAUAUGUCCUUAGUUCUGUCUGGCUGUGUUUGAUAGAUAGAAAUUCUCCUUCGAAAAGGCUAAUUAAAAAAAACCAACAAUUUAAA
This is a long non-coding RNA of Micropterus salmoides (largemouth bass), 2752 nucleotides long. RefSeq lists it as uncharacterized. Lineage: Eukaryota; Metazoa; Chordata; Actinopteri; Centrarchiformes; Centrarchidae. The transcript has 2 exons. The record is from RefSeq and is a predicted model, not a curated record.